GGGUAUCUGGGGCAUCCUUUGAAGUCCAGGUGAAGGCAGCCAUGCCUCUGCAGCUUGUUCAUUCUGGGACUUGUAAAGAUGGCACCAUGGAGACACCCCCAAGGUUGAUUUGAAUGUGCCCUCCAGAAGGACAUUCCGUUGGGCCUCAUCCCACCUGGGCCCAGUGGAGCCACACCUGAUAUGGUUGAGGAGCGGUUUGCUACAAUGCAGGGAACAGAGACUUGAGGCAUCAUGAGCAUACUGUAUAAAUAAAACCUGCAGAAAAGUUCAUUUAAUGGGAUAUAACUGUAAUGCUACCAUAAAAUGCAAAGGGAAAGGGAUAUGUAAUAAUUUUGGUAAUUGUCAAUGCUUCCCUGGAUAUAAACCUCCAGAUUGUAAAUUCCAGUUUGGUUCCCCAGGGGGUAGUAUUGAUGAUGGAAAUUUUCAGAAAUCUGGUGACUUUUAUACUGAAAAAGGCUACAAUACACACUGGAACAACUGGCUUAUUCUGAGUUUCUACAUUUUUCUGCCGUUUUUCAUAGUUCUUACCACUGUGAUCUUUAAGAGAAAUGAAAUAAGGAAAUCAUCCAACAGAGAGAAUGCAGAGUAUAAUCGGUAAAUAUGAUAUAGAAUUAAUGUAUUAGGUUAAAUUAUCCUAGUCAUUAA
RNAcentral lists this small RNA (645 nucleotides) under Pongo abelii (Sumatran orangutan). RNAcentral's name for it is "retained intron". Lineage: Eukaryota; Metazoa; Chordata; Mammalia; Primates; Hominidae. The record is from RNAcentral.